UGCAUUCUCUUACUAGACAUUUUUGCAAUACCAGACUGUGUGCCAAAAGUUGGUAAAGUAAUCGGACAUGUCUGGAAAUGUUGGCAGAUGUUGGGAUAGUUGUGUAAUGAGUUUGUACCAAUGUUUGCAGGGAAUGAAGUGAUACAAUACACCUCGCCACUAGAUAUGCUGGGUCUGCCCGACUUCGACGACCCAUUUCUUGAUCCUCUGACCGGAGAACCCAAUCAGAUGCUGAGUGAAAAGGCAAUUGCAAAAUGAUUCAAACGAUUGAGUGGUGUCAGUAUAGGGCCACUGCCAUCAGUCUGCCACAGCAACAUCAACUGUGUCGUAGAUUUGCAUACUGAAUCUAUUGUCAAAACAGUCGAGGUAUGGUGAAUGUAAAAAUAUUGGACAGUGAGCAAGAUGAGCUGUAAUUUAUUGAGAUGAUAAAUUGUUGUAAAUUGAUGAAUAAGUAAUCCAAAUAAUAGGCAUGUGCAACGUGUCAAUGUGUGCGUGGGUUUUAUCAAGAGCAAGUAGACUCUAGAAAACAUUGUGAACUUGGGUAUUCGUUUCUGUUCAGCAUGUUAUAAUAAGACAGUAUAAUUUUCGUAUUGUUAGUGCUGUAUAGAUUUUGUAAUAGACACCUAUACGUUCUGUGUAGGUUUAUGGGAUAGUCUAAGCUUAUUAUCUGCAGCAAACUAAAAAAUAUUGGGAAUUAAUUAUAUAUCUACACACGCACGCACUCAUGCAUGCACACCGUGUGCUAUACAGCCCGAUUAAUGUACUAUUUGUAUUGUACCCAAUUAUUUAACGCACCACUCGUGAUUUUGUUUCCUGCAGUUUCACUGGCGAAUUUGUAAUGAUGAUGCAUGUUCAUUUGAGUCGAGCCACAGUCAUGUAUUUAAUUGAUAUCUUGAAGUAUUGGCACAAGUUUGUAUUGAGUGUAAAGCUUAGUUAAAAUGGAGUGAUUGGUAAAAGUUAUAUUGAUAUAACAAUUCACACUACGUAUUAUACUUUAUGUAUCUCUGCACAGCACGUUCAGUUUACUUUUAAAAUGACAAAUUGAAAUUAAAAACAAAGAAUCAAAUGUCUGACAGAUGGACUAACCCUUAGUCUACGUAAAUUUUAUAUUAUAAUACAAUAUAUAAAUGUGGUUGUAUGCUCCAUACAGUUAUAAUUUAGAUUAAUUAAAUGAAAUUUCUACAUGGUGUAA
Priapulus caudatus is the source of this 1192-nucleotide long non-coding RNA. RefSeq lists it as uncharacterized. NCBI's taxonomy places the organism in Eukaryota, Metazoa, Priapulida, Priapulimorpha, Priapulimorphida, Priapulidae. The record is from RefSeq and is a predicted model, not a curated record. The transcript has 2 exons.